AGGGGGCACGUGACCCCCCCCCCCCACGCCAAAUUUUUUGGCGUGGGGUGGGGGGGUCACGUGCCCUUUUUUGUGAUGAAA
Molecule: non-coding RNA, 81 nt
Organism: Paramuricea clavata
Lineage: Eukaryota; Metazoa; Cnidaria; Anthozoa; Malacalcyonacea; Plexauridae
Source: the annotation of a GenBank genome assembly